This 736-nucleotide ribosomal RNA is filed under the name Elsinoe fawcettii (citrus scab fungus). RNAcentral describes it as "eukaryotic LSU rRNA". It matches the Rfam family "Eukaryotic large subunit ribosomal RNA", at positions 133 to 891 of the family's 3401-position model. RNAcentral also lists the same sequence under 7 other names. Lineage: Eukaryota; Fungi; Ascomycota; Dothideomycetes; Myriangiales; Elsinoaceae. The record is from RNAcentral.
GGCGUCCGAGUUGUAAUUUGUAGAGGAUGCUAUUGGGUUGCCACCGGUCUAAGUUCCUUGGAACAGGACGUCACAGAGGGUGAGAAUCCCGUAUGUGACCGGCCAGGCGCCUUCUGUAUAGCUCCUUCGACGAGUCGGGUUGUUUGGGAAUGCAGCCCUAAAUGGGAGGUAAAUUUCUUCUAAAGCUAAAUACCGGCCAGAGACCGAUAGCGCACAAGUAGAGUGAUCGAAAGAUGAAAAGCACUUUGGAAAGAGAGUUAAAAAGCACGUGAAAUUGUUGAAAGGGAAGCGCUUGCAAUCAGUCUCGACGGCGGCUGUUCGGCCUCUCUUCUGAGUGGUUUAUUCAGUCGCCGCCGGGCCAGCAUCAGUUUUGGCGGUCGGAUAAAGGCGUGGGGAAUGUAGCUCCUCCGGGAGUGUUAUAGCCCCGCGUGCAAUACGGCCCGCCGGGACUGAGGUCCGCGCUUCGGCUAGGAUGCUGGCGAAAUGGUUGUAAGCGGCCCGUCUUGAAACACGGACCAAGGAGUCUAACAUCUACGCGAGUGUUUGGGUGUCAAACCCGUGCGCGCAAUGAAAGUGAACGGAGGUGGGAACCGCAAGGUGCACCAUCGACCGAUCCUGAUGUCUUCGGAUGGAUUUGAGUAAGAGCGUAGCUGUUGGGACCCGAAAGAUGGUGAACUAUGCCUGAAUAGGGUGAAGCCAGAGGAAACUCUGGUGGAGGCUCGCAGCGGUUCUGACG